Molecule: ribosomal RNA, 474 nt
Filed under: uncultured bacterium
Lineage: Bacteria
Description: partial 16S ribosomal RNA
Rfam family: Bacterial small subunit ribosomal RNA
Source: RNAcentral
GACGAACGCUGGCGGCGUGCUUAACACAUGCAAGUCGAGCGGUAAGGCGCCUUCGGGAGUACACGAGCGGCGAACGGGGGAGUAACACGCGAGUAAGCUGCCCUUCACGUCGGGGGAAACACCGGAAACAGUGGCGAAUACCCAAGACAACCAGUCGUCGCAGGAGGGGCUGGUGGAAAGUCUUUACGGUGAAGGAUGGGCUGGCGGCCUAUCAGCUUGUUGGUGGGGUAAUGGCCUACCAAGGCGUCGACGGGUAGCCGGCCUGAGAGGGUGCCCGGCCAGACUGGGGCCGCGACACGGCCGAGACUCCGCCGGGAGGCCGCCGGGGGGAAUCUUGGACAAUGGUUGGACGCCUGAUCCAGCAACGACGCGGGAGUGCUGACGGCAUUCGGGUUGUAUACCUCUUGCAGUACCGUCGAAGCGGCCUGUCGGGUAGUGACGGUAGCUACAGAAGAAGGACCGGCUAACUACGUG